AGUGAACGCUGGCGGUAGGCCUAACACAUGCAAGUCGAACGGCAGCACAGUAAGAGCUUGCUCUUACGGGUGGCGAGUGGCGGACGGGUGAGGAAUACAUCGGAAUCUACUUUUUCGUGGGGGAUAACGUAGGGAAACUUACGCUAAUACCGCAUACGACCUACGUGUGAAAGCAGGGGAUCUUCGGACCUUGCGCGAUUGAAUGAGCCGAUGUCGGAUUAGCUAGUUGGCGGGGUAAAGGCCCACCAAGGCGACGAUCCGUAGCUGGUCUGAGAGGAUGGUCAGCCACACUGGAACUGAGACACGGUCCAGACUCCUACGGGAGGCAGCAGUGGGGAAUAUUGGACAAUGGGCGCAAGCCUGAUCCAGCCAUACCGCGUGGGUGAAGAAGGCCUUCGGGUUGUAAAGCCCUUUUGUUGGGAAAGAAAAGCAGCAGGUUAAUACCCCGCUGUUCUGACGGUACCCAAAGAAUAAGCACCGGCUAACUUCGUG
This 492-nucleotide ribosomal RNA is filed under the name uncultured bacterium. RNAcentral's name for it is "partial 16S ribosomal RNA". It matches the Rfam family "Bacterial small subunit ribosomal RNA", at positions 29 to 507 of the family's 1533-position model. The record is from RNAcentral.